Molecule: ribosomal RNA, 261 nt
Filed under: uncultured prokaryote
Description: partial 16S ribosomal RNA
Rfam family: Bacterial small subunit ribosomal RNA
Source: RNAcentral
UACGUAGGUGGCGAGCGUUAUCCGGAAUUAUUGGGCGUAAAGAGCGCGCAGGUGGUUGAUUAAGUCUGAUGUGAAAGCCCACGGCUUAACCGUGGAGGGUCAUUGGAAACUGGUCGACUUGAGUGCAGAAGAGGGAAGUGGAAUUCCAUGUGUAGCGGUGAAAUGCGUAGAGAUAUGGAGGAACACCAGUGGUGAAGGCGGCUUCCUGGUCUGUAACUGACACUGAGGCGCGAAAGCGUGGGGAGCAAACAGGAUUAGAUA